UACGUAGGGCGCAAGCGUUGUCCGGAAUUAUUGGGCGUAAAGAGCUCGUAGGCGGUUUGUCGCGUCUGUCGUGAAAGCUUGGGGCUUAACCCCAAGUCUGCGGUGGAUACGGGCAGACUAGAGGCAGGUAGGGGAGAACGGAAUUCCCGGUGUAGCGGUGAAAUGCGCAGAUAUCGGGAGGAACACCGGUGGCGAAGGCGGCGACCUGGGUAGAUACUGACGCUGAGGUGCGAAAGCGUGGGGAGCAAACAGG
Molecule: ribosomal RNA, 253 nt
Filed under: uncultured bacterium
Lineage: Bacteria
Description: partial 16S ribosomal RNA
Rfam family: Bacterial small subunit ribosomal RNA
Source: RNAcentral